Long non-coding RNA from Passer domesticus (house sparrow), 15101 nucleotides. RefSeq lists it as uncharacterized. NCBI's taxonomy places the organism in Eukaryota, Metazoa, Chordata, Aves, Passeriformes, Passeridae. The record is from RefSeq and is a predicted model, not a curated record. The transcript is spliced from 3 exons.
UUAAUUAGUUUCCCACUUCCUGCCAUCCCUUCUGUGUGCAUGUGUUUGGAGGUGCAAAUGCGUGCCCAGGAUACUGCUCACAUCUUAGAUCUUUGAUGUUGGUAAGGGAAUGUAGGCUGCAAUUUUGGCCAGAGAACUUGAUUUUAAAUUUGUGUUUCAUUUCCCAAAGCCCUCCCAGCUAAGCAUUGCCUGACCUGGUGCUGACAUGCAGGGCAUGCCAGGCACAAACGUGGCAGCUACUGCAGCUGCAGCACAGUGUGUGACUGUCCUGUCCUCCUGCAGCCAGGAAAGAGGAGCAUGGGAUCUAAGUCUGUGCACUAGGACUUCACCAGGAGAACGACAGGAAAUGCCCUCUCCUAGAAUCAGCAGCCUGGCAUGGCUGCAGCACCAACUCCAGCAUUCCUACUGCAGUGACCCACUUUACCAGCCUGAGGUGACAUGGGCUCCAUGGAUGACUCCACAGAAUCACUCUUUGGUAUGAGCCAGUACGAAGCCAGAAGGAAGGACUUGCAAGGGAGUGGCAGGAAGAAACAGAGAUAAGAACAUUCAUCCAAAGCAAAGAGGUGGAGAGGGGACAAUUUUGUUCCCUCAGUGCUGAGGACUGGCUUCAGCUCUACCUAUUCAUAGCCUGAGCCCACAAGCAAGGUGGGAUUUCUCUAAUUUCUAAAUUAGAGUAGCAUUUUUAAUCAGAGGAGUAUCCUGAGUUCUGCAGUAGGAAGGAACUGCUUAGAGUACAUGCUGACUUCUGGAGCUGCAGGGGCAGAACAAACCCCUCUGUCAGAGCAGGAAAAAAAAAGUACAGCUACAAGAAACAUGAUGAUUGGAUUCUCUCGCCUCUUUAAUGGCUUUAAGAUAACAGUGCCAACUCCCCAUGUUCUCACAAAAUCUCUGUGCUGGUCUUGUGGCAAGAUUUGCACUGUUCCAUGAGAAGCAGGAUCUGCUGUUGUGACUGGUGUUUUCCAAGGCUCCAUCCCCACAUGCUUGUGCUGAGAGCAGGCAGCAUCACUCUGUCAGCAGGGUCUCUGCUGAUCCUGGAUGGUCAGAAGUCCAGUUCUCCAAGGCAGUGGUUGCAGCAAUGUCCAGCUGCUAAUCCUUUCAGUUGGGCAGAAUAUAUGCUUGCUAUCAAGUGUCCAGCUGGGUGCAUACAGCUGUCCUGGCACCAAAGCAUCACAGUUUGCUCUGAGCAAACUCCAGUGCAGUAGUCAGGGCUCCCUGAAUGCCUUUGGCAUUUCCACUGCCCUUUGCCACGAUGGGAGAGCCUCCUGCCUUCCCUUCCAUCUGUGCACAGACAGCCAUAGCCCAGUCAGCAGCAGAGAACGCGGGGAGGCAGCUCUGGGGAAGAGACACAGCCAAGUUAUUUGUACUGUGGGGCAGCCUGCAGUCUGUGAAUAAAGAAAGGUAACAGCAUCCUCUCCUCACCCAGCCUCAGGCAGCCAUGACCCUGAGGACCAUACAGGCAGAGCUUACAUGUUAAUGCUGUGUCUUGCCCUGGGCAAACACAGCCUGGAGGAUCCAGGGAUAUCUGUGCCCAGCAGAGACUGAAAGCACAUCUGGUCCCACUACAGUCAUCUCAGGUCCUGCCCCUGUGUGAUUAACCACCAACACUGGGCAAAACCCCAGGAAAAGCCUCCAGCAGGACCUGUUGAGCAGUGGGUCCAGCCCCCCUUGGCAGGCAGGUUCCCCUUGUCUCCACCAGGCUUCUGCUUACCUUGGAUACCUGACAGGCACAGAGCACCUCACCCGAAGCCUGAGGGCUGAGCAGCAAGACUGAGGUGCCAGGAGACUUGUCACACAGCUGGUUCACUACUUUCAUUAGGAUCUAGGAGAGGCAGGGAGAACAGAGGUCAGGCAGCAGCAAAGAAGACCAGCAUCCAGCAGAAAAUGUGCCCAGCAACUCCCUCUUGCUGUUUGAAGCACCUGAGGUACCACUGGGCCAACAAAGAAUGUGGAUUACUCACAGAGAGGGAAUCAGCUGGGAUAGUAUCAAUGAUGACAGGCUGGUUGCAGUAUUUUGCUAGCAAGGUUUUUGCCACCUUCUCAGCCUGGAGAGAGAAAAGCAGAGCAUUUUGAAGGACUACAGGUGGCACAGGGUGGGCUGCAUGGGGAUAUAUCCAUGAAAUAUAUAUGCAAAAGGAAUGCAAGCGCUGCUCUGUAGGACAGAUGGGAGAUGUUUGAUAGCAGAAGUCAAAGUAAGACUAGCAGACUGAAAUCUCCAUGUGGAGACCUGUACAGCCCCCCUUCCCCAAAUGCAAGCAGAGAUGAACCCCCAUCAAAAGUGGAAUAGAGAGUGACUCAUUCAGUCCCCGGCCUCUCUCCUAGACCUAUACAGUGCCACAUGCCUCAGGAAGGCUUUGGUGGCAAGAUACUCCUAUUUUAAGGGACAAUUCUUCCUGAGAUGUCUAAGUUACCAGUAAGUAUUUCUAAUCUGCUUUCAAUGUAAAUUGGCAGAACACAUGUGGGAAGCACAGCAAAAUCCAUGUAGCUGGAGGAAAGACUCUACCCCAUCACUGACUGUAACUUUGUUAAGCCCACUAAGAGGACCAUCACAUCGCCAUGCAUAAACAAGGAGGUGAUGCCCAAUGCCUACUGAUGCUGGCCAAAAGUGCUGGUAUGAGGGUCUUUUCUCACAGGCAGGGAGACAUGGGAAUUCUGCAGGUGCUAAAAGCCCAGCCAGUCAUUCCCUGUAUUUCAGUAAAGGGCCCCAUAAACAAUGGCCAGCGAAACCAACCCAACACAGGGCCAGUGUUGCACCAUGAGUGAUUGUAUGGGCUUUCUUCUGCCUUCUCAGACUCUAGUGACUGAGUGGCCCUGCAGUGUGACAGAAACAUCAGGUCCACUGGUGUGUGCUAUCAGCUGGCUGCAAGUCAGUGUGCUGCUGUCUCAGUACCUGCUGCAGCUCCAGCUUCUUGAUAGCUGUGUUGGCUGUUCGCUGUAGUGCUUUCAGGAUGGUCUGUAGUUCUUUUCUUUGCCACUGUGGCAUUGCAGUGCUGGCCACCACCUGCAAGACAAUUUUCUCUGUUACACUAAACUGAUUCUAAAUUCUAAACCUAGACAAGAAGUGCCAGUUCUCUGGGAGGUCAGGCUGCAGCACGGCCUCUUCCCAGACCCUGCUUUAACCAGGUGACCAGGGCAGCCAGUCACUGUGCUGAGCAGCUUUCUCUUCAGUCAUCUGCAACACAGCCACCUGGACAUUAGCAAAAAUCCUUAUGACCAAAGAGGCAACAGCAGGUAGAAACCUGCCCUUGCUAGUGACCAUGGUAAGAAGUGAACCUGAUAGGGAAAGAGUCAUGUGUCUCAUGUGCCCAUGCUGGGCUUUCUGUACAGGAGUGUAACCCUUACUUUGGUCAACUGGCCCACUUCUUUGGAGAGGUUCUGCAUCUCAGGAAUAGAGGUGAUCCUCUGCUUCAUUCGUAGGGAGACAGAGUCCACUUCCAUAGCCAAGCACUGGCCUACUUCCCGGGCCUGCAGAGAUGGAAGGAAUGCAUGCUUCAAAUGCAGCAACAGAAACAGUCCACAGGGAUGGAGAAGGCAGGGAGACAGCAGGGUCAUGAACACUGAAGUGCUGCUCAGAAUCCAGUACAAAGACACCUCCAGAUGGUUUAGGAAUGACUGUUCCUGCAAGACUCUGAAAUACAACAUUCCUCUCUAGAUUUGCAACCAACACUAGAUGGUCACACUCAGGCAGACCAAGCUGUUGAGCUUUAGGUGAUAUUUAUGGUUGAAAUUAAUGUUUCCUCCAAAAUGUGCACCAAAAUCAUUAGGAUUUCAUUAGGGAAAACUGGGGAGCUCUGUGGAGCAUCUUAGAAAUCUUUUUCCAUUAGCAAAUGCAAUCUUGAAACUGCUGACUGAAGAAACAAGAGAAACACCAACACUAAAAGAAACCUCAUCAGCCAUUGAUGCAUAUUUCCUGAGUUUACCUAUCCUGAUAUAUUUCUUAUUGCUUUCACCAACAAUGCUACUACAAAUAAUUUUUUUAAAAAAGCUAUUACAAGCUUUUUUUACCAGUGACAAUCCUUAUAUUUUGGAGCAUUUCCUCUCUACCAGAUCUCUGUGCCCAGGAUGGUCUUGCAAGACUUUAGAGGAGGACAGCAGAGGACUGCUCUGCCUACCUAGGCUACACAACCCUUGUUUCAAGUAAAUCUCUCUGCAGUCUCCCUUGUCUCAUUAACACUUGCACAGAGCUCCUCUUAGGGGCUCUCCAGGUCAGCACUUCCAGCCAAGCAUGCAGAUGUGCCCUGCAGCUUUUUGUUCUUCUGCAUGAAGAAAAGCCUCUCUGGGACACAGAUGCACAGGGGAUGGCCAGCCAAAAAGGAACAGAUUUGCAGGGGUGGGCUUUGCCUUUAGUCUUUCCAAUUCCAGUGACUAUGAGUCACUCUCCUCUGACAGCAGCCUCAAAGGAAGAGGGAAGGCUUAUGGGGCACCUGAUGCUUCCGAAUACUCAAAGGACAGAGUGAUCUCACAAACACAAUAGUAGGUUGCUUACUUUUUAUACAGAACCAGCCAGACCAGAAUCACAGUUUAGCAGGAGAAAGACUAAAGACAGGAAGCAAAAGCGCUGUAAGAAUGAGGCCAAAACCCUGUAAUCAUAAAGUGUAAAUCCAGCUGUGAUAAGCAGGAGGCAAAAUCAAUGCACGAAGAAUUACACCUUAAAAUACCUACUGGGGUAGGUACCUAUCAGGCUUCCUGAUAUUUUGUGUAAGUUUUUAUCUUGGAAAAGGCAGUCUGAAGGGAGAAAUGAAGGUCAAGGAGACAGAGAACUAAGAUGGGAGGGAAAGGAGGUGAACAGUGAGGUACAGUAGCAGAGCUGAGUCCAAGGCUGAAGCAGGAAGCCAGAUGUGGCACAGCAGGAAGGCUCCAACCAAAGCAGUGGGGAGCUAAUUGUCUAUGAGGAACCUACAAAGGUUGUUCCUUCUGGCACUGCCUUGACAUGGCAGAAAUCUCAUUUCCCUCUUUCUCACCUCUUUGGCUCGUCCCCCUGUCACUGCAAUGACACGGCUAAUCCCCUUGACAAGCUGACGCUCGCUGAUGAUGGCCAGGUCUUCCACUGAUCCUGUUUGGAGAAGGUGCCUAGAACAUCAGCAGAGAACAGGAAAGAAAGCAAGUUGCUCUUUGCAAACAGAAAUCAAGAAGCCUGCUUGCUUUUUCAAAAAUUCUGAAGUCCAGCAGCCCUUUGCUAAUCCUAAUCCCAGUAUCUUGAAUCCUUUCCCAUCCCUAAAAUCCUGAUGGUACCUUGUCAGGCAAGAGACAGCCGAGUUGAGGCUACCCCAGAGGAACCUCUGUGCUACCUGCCCAGCAGGCUCCAGUCAAAUGGUGCAGCCAAGUUCUGUCCUCCUUUCCUCUCCUUCAGCAGUGAGAUGAAUUGGUGUUUUUCUCCUCUACUCAGCUCCUGUACUCCACCACUCUCUUGUCAGGCCAGCUCACUGUCUGGCCAGUAGACUCCAGACAAAGGACAGUUGUGCAGUCUCAGGACACUGACAACAUCCCUUUUCCUUCUUGUUUAUUCAAUGCUGGAUAUGAAAACUACAGUGUCUUGGGUUCUGUUACCACAAGCAAGCAUUCCAGACAUCUUCAUAAGAAAUUAUCAUCUCCCAUGCACUUUCUUGUUCCAGUACUCCCACAAGAAGAUCUCAUGGGUAGAAAAUUGCUCAUUUCCAGCUCUAUCUGCUCUAAGGCCAGUUUGUUCCUUCUUUUUUUUUUUUUUUUGGUGUCAGACUAUGAAGUAAGGAAAAAUGCUGUGCAUUUCGUUAAAGUUUGCUCACCCUGGAACUUCCAAAGCUUUGUAAAUAGCCCAUCCUGUCCUCACAAUAUUUUUCCAGUGAGGAAACUUAGUUUCACAGAGUCAGGGAUGUGAGCUUGUAGUCAUGUUUCUACCUCAGCCACCAGUGCCCACACACACGCCUUCUGGCUGCAAGUAAAAGUCACUUACGUCCCACAGCAGAGCUCCACAGAGGUCUGCAUUGCAGCCUUGGAGUCACAGGUCAGCACAUUCUCCACAGGGACCCCCAGGGACACUAUCCUCACUGGAUCUGGAUACCCCUGACAGAGGAGACAGGGGUCAGCAGCUAACAACAUGGUUUUUCAGGGGCACUUACAGACUAACUACAUGGUUUCUGCUUCAUUUUCCCCCUAUUCUAAAGGAGCCCCUGAGUCAGGGGUGGCACUACUUCUCCCUCACAACCAGUCACCAGUGGGUAAAAGAAACAAUUGGUGACACGACAAGCUUUGGUCCACAGGCAUAAACAGAAAGCCUGUGCAUCACCAGUCUCCAUGUUUUACAACAGUGUCCUGAGAGCUCAUCUCUGUCCUAUUUUCCCAUCUGAGUUUUGGGAGACAAUUCUUUUGCAAAAACAUGUUGUGUCAACAUCUCGUGUCUCAGAUGAUUCCUGCUGAAGGAGAAAGCUCAUGAAGAUGUGUGCUGCCAUCGUGUCAUACCUCAUCCACUGCACGGAGUCCCUGAACUCUCCUUGCCAGUGUGAGGGGAACUUCAGCCAUAUGCACCACCUCAUUUUUCUGGAUUAGGUCCUGGACCACUUGUUCCACUUGCUGCAGCUGCUCCACGGUCACAUGGCCCUGAGGAAGCAAAUCAGCCACAUUCAGGAGAAACCUCCUGAGAGAUACAGAAUGAAGGAGGGAGAUCUGGGGCACAGCAACCAGAUGACUCAGCUUGGGCACACCACUCUUUCCCUGCAUCUCAUCUUCUCAGCUUGUAAAAGGGAACUGUGAACAUCAUGGCCCUCCCACCUUCUCGUCCCAUGAGACAUAAGGAUUUUUGAUGCAAGAGCACCAGCCAAAGUCUUCAAAAGAGAUACUAGAACGAGUGACAGGUUACCAGAGCCAGCACUCACAAAACUUCACAAAUGCUCUCACCUGAAUGCCCAGUAGAGACAUCAGAUAUGUGCCACAGCCAAGCACCAUCUCUCAAAGACUCCUUUACACUAUUUUGUGCCAGUCCAUGACCACUGGCCUUGCUAAGUCCUUUCCUUUCUGACCCCCAUUCAUCCCCUCAGCAAGCCCUGCCCAGGGUCAUAUCAGUGCAAAUGGACACAGUCACGUCCAGAGGACCAAGCUUCAUUACUCAGAUAAAAUGUGACUUGUCUCUAAAGGAGUGAUUACGGGGAGAGGGGAAAAAUCCCUGGAGAGAAGAGCUGUACUGGAAUGCUGGUACUGCUGAGAGCUAGGGAACCGGAGUCACCUUGGUAUCAAAGUCGAAGCGCAGGCGCUCUGCUGCCACGUGGGAGCCCCGCUGCUCGGUGCUGUCGCCCAGGACACGGCGGAGCGCGAAGUUCAGCAGGUGGGUGGCAGUGUGGUUCGUCAUGCAGGCCAGGCGCUGCACCUGGAAGCACACACCAGCUAGCAGGGAGUGCUGGCUCUCCACAGCUCGGGGGAGCAGGGGAUGGCACGAAGAGAUAAGGAAAGGGCUCUUAUCCCCUGAUAGGAGGGGAUGGAGGAAAAACAACAGGUAGUACAGCUGUCAGAUGAGUUAUGUGACAGGGCAGAUCUAACUCCUUUUUUCAUGGGAUCAUCUUUGUAAAACAUUAAGAGUAGGCUAGACACUUUUGCACAGACCAAUGGCUCACAAAUUACACAGUCAGUUGUGAUAUCUCCUUCCCACUGCACCCUAUGACAAAGGACAGUCUCAAGAAUACAAGGGACAAAGACCUGCUGUGCCCGGGUUACUCAGGACAUCACAAGGAAAAGGUUAAGAGCACUAAUUUAUCACCUCAUCCACAAAGAGCUGCACUUGGUCGCCAGCACGCAGGGUUUCCACAGCAGUGACCUCGUGGAUCACGUAGCCACCACAGAGAUGAACUGACUCUACAGGGAAAAGUACAUCCUGAGCAAAGAGACAGAAAAAUGAGUCAGGACACAGGGAAAAUCCAAAUAUCUGUGCUAUGUACCUGCUCAACCCUACUGGGAAACACAAUUCCCACCAAUCCCUAAAAGACAGGGAUGGGGUGGGAAAAGCAGAGAGAAGCUUACUGCAAACAUAACCAAGGUAUCUCAGACCUCACCAGUACCCAGCCACUCUCUACACAGUAUGCUGAGGCUGCCAGUUUGCAGUGGAGGGGCAGUAACACCAUCCAGGCUGACAAAUUUUCUUAACAAUUGUGCUCAUCCAUGAAAAAAUGAACAACAUCUCCCAAGGCAUGUCUCUGGCAUCCAAGGUACCAUUUCUGCCUCACUGGGAUGGCAACAAAACUGGACCACCACUAUAGCUUGGGAGAAGUGCUGAGCAAGGUACUGUAGCCCUCUGCAAGGCUAAAAAGGCCCAAGGGUGAUUAUCAAGACUUGGAAAUGGGGAAAGGAGAAAAGGUUGCACCCUGUGUAACUUCCCAGAACAGGCUCAAAGCUCUCCCUUUGGCAAGGCUGAAGGAACAUGCUGCAGAAGUGGAGGUCCUCCCUGAUGCUCUUGGGAGGAAUAAGAGGUUUUGCACUGGGUCUCAGGCUGGGGAGCACUUGCAGCUGUCCAGGACUGAACAGAGAGAAGUUACUCAGUUCACAGACUCUCUGAUCAAUGUUUGCCUUCUCUCAGCAUUACAACCCCAGCUGGCAAGAACACAGCACACUGAAGGAAGACCUGAGAAGACUUUAGCCUUCCUCAGCAAGAUGAAAUUGCAAAGGGCUGUGAGAGACAACCAGAGCAGCAAGAAUGCCCUUGUGAAGUUACUGCUGAUUCUGCCUUACCCCACCAACUCUGAUACUAUGCCAAGGGAACUGUCAAGAGUCAGCAGCUUGCAAAUUAACACAGUAGAACAACCCAUCACUUGGAGAAUUCUGCCUGGCCUCAGAACCCAUGGCAGCCUUGGGUUAGGCAGGAAAAGGCCUUACCUGCUGUCCUAAACGUAUCAUGUAGCCUCGGUCAGAGUCCUGCCCUCCCUGCUCUGCAUAGAAGUUAGUCCUGUCCAAGAUGACACCACAGCGUUGCCCUGCCUCAACCUCCUUAUGGAGAGACUGAUCUCUGUACAGCAUCAGGACAGUGGCCUGGCACGGGCUGAACUCUGUCAGGGGAAGAAGACAGCAGCUGUUAGUGCAUACAGCCUGUCAGAAUGCAACAGGAAAGGAGGGAUCACUUCCCCGUGCCAACCCUGGAAACACCUGGGCUACACUGAAAGUUGGCACUUUGCCUUGGUAGGAGAGGAACGGCUACUGGCAGAAGGGACAAAGGACUGGAACUAAGUCACCCCUCAGUCUCCUAAUGACAGAACUGCAGAGUAGCAGCUAAGCAGGCAGGACACCCAAUCCAGCUCCACAUGAGCCUGGCAGAAGAAAAUGUGACACAGACACAUCUGCAUCUUGCUACACUGCAAGCUUGGCAAACCUGACUGACUUUUAUGAAGAUGCUGUGGAUAGGGGACAGCAGGGAUGUCACAUUCCUGGGUGCAGCAAGCUUCUAACAUGCUCUCCUGUAGGCUCCUUGAACCCAAAGUUGGGCACUGUGGACAAGUGGACCAUAAACUGGGUGUGUAAUUGGCAGGGCAGAGGGCCCCAGUGAGAAUUGCUCAGUAGUUCAAUGUUCAACUGAUAGUUGUAGUAGUAGUAGUUCAAUGUUCAACUCAUAUUCAGCUAUAGAGCUACUUGGUGGCUGAUAUAAUGGACAACACCAGUUAACAUCUUCAUUAAUGACUAUCCAUGAAAAAAUGGGAUGUACCCAUAUCCCACUUAAUUGGCAGGGACUGGCUAAUACACUGAAGAACUGGACUGUUUUUUGAAGGCAUCUGAGCAGUCCACAGAAAUGACCUGACAGAAAUCUUAGGUGCUCAGGAGCAAGCUGAUCACAAGCCAGCAGGGUGCCCUUGCAGCACUGAAGGCUGCCUGCCUGCUGAGCUGUAUGAACACAAACAUAGCCAACAGUCAAAGAAAGAGGUUAUUCAUCCCUAUUUAGCAUUUGGGAGACUGCAUCUAGAGUACAGGAAAUUCUGGCUGUACAUAGAGAAAAAAACCUUUACACACUAAGAGUGAUAAAGAACAGGGAACAGAUAGGCUGUGAGAUUUUUGUCCCUGAAGAUACUGAAAACCUCUGAGCAAUGUGAUCCAACUGUAAAACUGAUGUUACUUUUAACAAGAAAUUGGACGUCCAGAGAUCCCCUUCAACCCAAUUAUUCCAUGAUUCAGAAGCUGAGACAGUUCUAGUUUGGGGAUUUGAGCCAGUAUCACUGCUAGGCUUUUUUCCUCUGUUGUGCUCUUGCUGUAGUAUAUAUAGCUUGCAUUGCCUCACUUUCUGCUUAGCGUGGGCUGCCACCAGCACACUGGGUAAAAGGGAGUUGGCUGUACACAGCCUUCUCUAAUUGUCUGUGACAGCCACACCACCUCUUGCUCCCUGUGGCUUAUCUUCCUGCCUUCCGCAGAGCAUCGGCAGCCUCAGUUACCCGAGGUGAUGAAAAGGCUGCGCUGGCACCUAGCGGUCUGCCACGGAAACAGCAAGGGCAGGGUUUCACACAACUACCUUUGCAUAUAAUAACCCUUGCGUAAUUAUCCUUCUUUCUCCCGAGCACACACCCAGAAGCCUAAUUGUUGGAGACAGACUUAUCUCUAGAAGAAAUCAACAGUCCCUGUUUCACCACUGCACCCAGUGGUGCCAACCCAGAGCUCAGCCUUGUCACCAGCCCAGAGCCUUCCUAGGGACAUACCAACAGCACUAAGAAAUGCACCCAGUUUGGGAUGAGGUACACGGGUAGGGAAGAGACGUGGCAGCAAGGUGGACAGGUUUGGACCACGAAGUUGUGCUUGCAUGGGGGUUAGGCAGCAGAAGCAGCCAUGUGAGGGACUCCAGGAGAGCCUGCUGUGCAGGUGGGCCAGGCACUCACCGUACUGCCCGUGCUGCCCCAGCGUGUACGCGUACUUCGGGGAGUCAUCCGUAGCAGGCACGUUGCUGUUCUGCAGCCAAGCCAGCGAGUGCACGUCCAGCUGGGUGUUCCUGUUCCCUGCCUGUCCUUCCUGUGGGCUACCAGCCUUCCGCUGCAGCAGAGCAAAGGCACAGUUAGAUGGGAGAUCCCUGGGGCAAGCAAACAGGUAACUGGAGCUGUAAGGCUAGGAAUGGCUUCUUCCACCUCCAUGGAAAAGGCUUGCUCAGAUCCAGGCUGAUGUAGGCUACUGCUAACUAACCCCCCAUCCCUUCUAACCUCACAAGCACAGAAUACCACUCCGUGCUAGCCUUGAGCCAGGCCAUACCAACUGUUAACACAUCCCUCUUGGCACAGCUUCCAGGCCAUUAAAGUGCAGGAGAGCAAGGCCUCAAACCAAUUACUGCACUAGGGGGUGGUGGUGGUGGGUGGGCAGUGCAAGUAUAUCAGCAGUACAGAGAUCAUGGAGAUUUUGUAAACUCUUCAUAAAUAAUUUGCUGCUUCAGCUGUCUAAACUGGUUCUACUUUGUGUGAGAAGUUAGACUACAUGACUAGCAGAGGACUGUCCUAACCUACAUAAAUAUUUCAUAACCUUCACUCCAGCAUCAUAAAAUACCUGAAGAAAAAUCACCAACCAAUACUUCAGUUCCACAUUCAGAAACAAGGGGAUUGUGAUGACACUGCUAUUUCAGACUCCCCCUUCAGGGAGAAGGCAUGUAGCCCUGUGGUGCUCUGAAGAGCCUCAGCAGUGAAAGGGAUCCUGCUUCCACAGUCACAGGAGAUAGCAUCAAGUCAAUCAGAUCCAGAGGGAAUCCCAAACUCCCAUAGAGAGACCAGGCUACUUCAGCUGUAAGAUAAAAAGAAGGUCAAGAACUCAGUGAGAACACAGAAAGCAAAGGCAUCUGAAGAUUUGUCUGGGUGGGACCAAUCUGGGUGUGUGCUUUGGUAACUGGAUCCACCUGUAUUGUGUGCAACUGUACAGUUAAUGGGGAAGAGAAGCCUUGGAGUCCUUCCUGCAUGUGACUGAGUAUUAAUAAUGCUCCACAGCCCCCUUCCUGCUAAAAUUCAGCGCAGCACAUCUAGACAGGCAGCUGCACUGGCUGGGUCCUGUGCUACUCCUCCCAGCUGUGUCUUACAAUGACCUCAUUGAUCAGCCAAUAAAACAGCAAGGGAAUGCUUCUAACUUGCCUGGUACCUAGUUUGUUGUACUAGAAAACAACUGCAAUUUGGAGAAAGAACAUCUGCUCCUCUGUCUGGGGCUAGACAGUCACAGAAAAUGCAGGGGACGCAAACAUCCACCAGUUUUGACUGCAAUGCUUGCGAGGACCUGGAGCAAAUUGUCUCUAAGUGCAGCUUGUCAGAGGAAGGACACUCACCUGGGAAAUUUGUGGAGGGCUCCAUCUGCUGCACUGUCCGCUCGAUGAUGCGCCUCCCACGCUCCAGGGAGGACAGAAAUGAGGCCUCGUUCUCAUUGAUGAUAUCCUUGAUCUGCCCAAGGAUCAGAAGGGUUACCCACAUUUCAGGGAGUUCCCCAGAUCACCUCAGCCCUGCUCAGUCAGCUCAAAGCACAUCAACCAGCCUUUCUGUUCUGCACGUAUCCAUCACAACAUGGCUCUGAUGCAUUAUUGAACAGUGCCAAAGUCAUUGUGCCUCCUGUCACAAUUCCUGUCAAAAAAAUAUUGACCGUCCAUGUGGGGAAAGCUUUAGGUUGACAAAUGUUCCCUACUGGGCAUUCAUAUCUGUGACCCAAUUACAACUGUAUGUCUGGAACAGCCAGAGAAGUUGCUGUCAGUGGAAACAAGCUGGGACUAGCCUUAAAUCAUCGUUCCACUUUAGACAAAGGGUACCCAGGCGAGGACAGGCUGUACUUGCACUCAACCGAAAAAGCUACUGUAGCUUUUUUAGAGCAAGAGCCGCCUUACACAGCACAUGCAGUCCCUGGUAAGGACCUAGUGGACCAUAUGGAAAUCUGCCACAGAUACUUGUGCCCAGAACAUCUCAGCCUCCUCCGCAGCCACGUUCUGGUGGGUGGACUACGCAAGCUCCUCCAGCUAAGUCCCAAGGGCGGGCUGAUUUCUGGGCUUGAGAGCAGUGUCUCACAAAGAUAAUGAGAUAAUGAGGGGAUUCCACAUUGCUCACCUGGUUGGCAUUCCUUGUCAGCUCUGGAUAAGCAUCUCCCUGUGAAAGUGAGCCUCAGUUAGUGACAACACCCUCAGCAUCUUCCCCGGGGGAUCUCACAGCAUGUCACAAACAUUAUAGAAGUUACUUGCAUACACUUACACAUGCUUGUGCUGACUGUACCAUUGAUGACACUAGGCCCCCUCCCUCCCAUCCCAAGUGAUAUGGGGACAAGAAGUUUUUAAUGCUGGAAUGCAUAGCAUCACGUACACCUUCGUGGACCCUUCCCAAGAUUGACUCCUGACAGUGUGCAGAAAAUGGACAUAGGGCUGAAUAGGAUCUGUGAUGACCUUUUUCCCCAAAGACAACAGUUUUACUCACCAGCACUUCCACUACGGUAGGCACCAGGGAGGCCAGGAGCCCAGGUGGAGCCUGCAGAACUUCAGAGCAAAAGCGUACAGCCCUGCGCAGGAUCCGACGCAGCACCAGUCUGAAAACAGAGCAGGAUUCCUCAGGCAGCCUUGUGAGCACCCCUGCCCAGCUGCCACACCAGCAUCCCCCAGCUCAUCUGGUCUGAUUCAUCAGCACACGCCAGCUGCUUCCAACACUCUACACUCAUCCAAGGGGAAGUCUGCAGAUUGGCACCCCUUCCCAGCUCUCAUCUUCCUGUCUCCCCAAAAGCUCAUGCACUCCCUAUCUGGGGCCCACACCAGAACCUCUUCCCUGGCUGUUCAUACUCCUUUCUAGACCUAACUUCCUCCACCCCAUGUCAUUUCCUUAUGUCCUUACUCUGCUCCAGAGAAGCCUGGGUAGAUGCCAUCAGUGAUGCACACGCACAGGGCGCGCACGUGAUCUGCCACCACGCGGUAGGCCAUGUUCACAUGCCCAAUGUCAGCAUUCCCGACCAAACCUUGGUAUUUGGGUGCCUUGCAGCCCUAAAAGAGAAAGUAGGGAGACAAGUCAGCAGAAAGUAAUGGCUGCAGAAGAAGUUUCAAUGCAAGAGGCAGCCAGCUACUCCUGAUAUCAUGUUUUUCAGUAACUUCUGAACCUUGUGCAUCUAAGAUGUACUCAUUAAAUCCUUCCACAGCACUACAGACCAAGACUUCCGUACCUAACACAGGUCAGCCAAUGCCCUGGCACUGAGAAACUUAAGACACUUUGAUGGAAAAAUGAAUCAGCAGUGCUGAUAUUCCAGCAGAUUUCCAACCUGGAAUACUCCCUUUUUUCUAGAACACUGCAUUGGACCUGGAAGGACAUAACCUCCUGUCUCAAGAUACUGCUCAGUAACUGCUCAGAGAAGGCUGUACCAUGCUACCCAGCAAGGAACUUUUGUUGAGCUGUGACUCUGAGCAGAAGCACCAUCACCUUGUGAAUAGCAUCCAAGAUGGGAGUGAAGAGAUCUGUGUCAUAGUUGGAACGUUUGUUCUGCAGAACUGUCACCAGCCUUUCCAGACCCAUUCCUGUAUCCACAUGGUGCUGUGGCAAGGGAAGGAGAUUCCCAUCCAUCUCUCUGUCAGCCAGGCAGGAAAAAUAAAAGGCAAAAGAGAAGCAAGCAUCAGUUCAUGGGCAAAAAUAAGGAACAGGUGAAUCAAAGAGAAUGGGGGAAGUGACAGGGGAUGGAAACAGUGGGUGAUUCAGCAUAAGGAAGCUCAGGGACAAGAGCGACAGCAGCCUGCCUUGGCCCUGUCAGGCAGCCAGAAUCUGACUAUCACAUAGUUAGGAUAGGCUGCAAUGUAAGGAAAAAGGCCUCCUCCUCCAGGCUGUUGCAGACCCCAAGAGAUCUCUGGAAUGCAGCAUUAAGGGGUAUUCCCCCUUAAUAGGCAGUGAAGGCUGAAGAAGACAGGGAAAUAAAACAAAGGGGGCCAAGUGCUGGACAAAUCUCCGUAGCUUCUCUCUUGCUCCUGGUUCUGGAAAACAGUGAUAAGUCUGAGAAUAUACACAUGAUUUUGGAGUCAGGCUAGGGGGAAAGGCUCUGGAAUUCAGAUGACAUGCUUGGUACCUGCUGUACUGCAUGAAAACCAAGUUCCAGAUCUCCACUACAUCAGGGCUACCCUGGUUCACCAGUGCUGCAGCAUUUCUGCCACCACCCACGUGGUCAUAGUGGAUCUCUGUGCAGGGACCACAGGGACCUGUGUCCCCCAU